Hibiscus syriacus is the source of this 149-nucleotide long non-coding RNA. RefSeq lists it as uncharacterized. The transcript is spliced from 3 exons. Lineage: Eukaryota; Viridiplantae; Streptophyta; Magnoliopsida; Malvales; Malvaceae. The record is from RefSeq and is a predicted model, not a curated record.
AAGGAAAUCAGGGAAAUCAAUAAAAUUAAUAAUUAGUCCCCCUUUCCAAGCUGAGCAAGGUAUUCCUUGUCUGCAGUCGCAAGUCGUUUCUGAAACAUCGCCCAUUCGUUUUUGCACCUUGCUCUAACCUGUGAAUAGAAAAGGAAGAA